CGGCUGAAGCUCGGUUGGGAUAUCUGAUGGAGCGAAAUGACUCUCUAUCUCGUCAAUCUAGGAGAAGCUCGGAUGUUUCUAAGGUUGUGAUGGGUCUACUAUUGUUGGGUGCCUAGAGCACUGAUGCUGCAGUUGGAAACCAUCUACUAUAGAAGCUCGGAUAGAAACUUUCUGUUGGAAAAGUCCGAUUUCAUGAAGAAUCUGGCAA
This 208-nucleotide long non-coding RNA is filed under the name Elaeis guineensis (African oil palm). Its description in RNAcentral is "long non-coding RNA (EGUI_LNC064237)". The record is from RNAcentral. Lineage: Eukaryota; Viridiplantae; Streptophyta; Magnoliopsida; Arecales; Arecaceae.